RNAcentral lists this ribosomal RNA (494 nucleotides) under uncultured bacterium. RNAcentral describes it as "partial 16S ribosomal RNA". It matches the Rfam family "Bacterial small subunit ribosomal RNA", at positions 28 to 507 of the family's 1533-position model. The record is from RNAcentral.
GACGAACGCUGGCGGCGUGCUUAACACAUGCAAGUCGAACGGUGAAGCGCCUUCUUUUUUGGUUGGUGUGGUUGCGUGCCGAACGGGUGCGUAACACGUGCCUAACCUGCCCCCUUCUUCUGGAUAACCGCAUGAAAGCUUGGCUCAUACGGGAUAUUCUGGGUCUUUCGCAUUGUGGGUCUGGGAAAGUUAUUGUUUCGGUGGGGGAUGGGCUCGCGGCCUAUCAGCUUGUUGGGGGGGUGAUGGCCUACCACGGCGGUGCCGGGUCGCCGGCCUGAGAGGGUGGACGGUCAGACUGGGACUGAGACACGGGCCAGACUCGUACGGGAGGCAGCAGGGGGGAAUAUGGCACAAUGGGCGCAAGCCUGAUGCAGGGAGGCCGCGUGAGGGAUGGAGGCGUUCGGGUUGUGAACCUCUUUCGCGAGUGAAGCGUGCCUGCCUGGUUUGUGGGUGGGGUGACGGUAGCUGGAUAAGAAGCGCCGGCUAACUACGUG